GCAUAUCAAUAAGCGGAGGAAAAGAAACUAACAAGGAUUCCCUUAGUAACGGCGAGUGAAGAGGGAAGAGCUCAAAUUUUAAAUCUAUCAUGUUGUACAUGAUCGAGUUGUAAUUUGAAGAAGCGUUUUCUCGUACUUUAUGAUCAGUAUAAGUUCUCUUGGAACAGGACAUCAUAGAGGGUGAUAAUCCCGUCUGUUACUGAUUGUGAGGUUCGUUUAUGAUACGCUUUCAAAGAGUCGAGUUGUUUGGGAUUGCAGCUCCAAAUGGGUGGUAAACAUCACCUAAGGCUAAAUAUUUGCGAGAGACCGAUAGCGAACAAGUACCGUGAGGGAAAGAUGAAAAGAACUUUGAAAAGAGAGUUAAAAAGUAUGUGAAAUUGUUGAAAGGGAAACGAUUGAAGUCAGUCGUGCAGUCAUCAAUUCAGCGGUUAACAUUUUAUGUUUCCGUGUAAUUUGGUGUCUGUUGGUUAGCAUCAAUUUUGAUUGUUAUAAAAAGGUUAAGGGGAUGUGGCUCCUUCGGGAGUGUUAUAACCCUUAGCGUAGUGUGACGAUUAGGAUUGAGGUUUGCAACGAAUACCUUUUAGGGCAGUUUCACCUGGCCUCUCGUGGAAUUAUAGAUAGUUAAGAGCAUGCUCUUACUGUUUAUGAUUCUACGAAAAGGUUGGAGUGUAAAACUAAUUCGUUAAGGAUGUUGACGUA
Molecule: ribosomal RNA, 699 nt
Filed under: uncultured Glomerales
Lineage: Eukaryota; Fungi; Glomeromycota; Glomeromycetes; Glomerales; Glomeraceae
Description: LSU rRNA
Rfam family: Eukaryotic large subunit ribosomal RNA
Source: RNAcentral